Molecule: ribosomal RNA, 723 nt
Filed under: Bacillus sp. CH28
Lineage: Bacteria; Bacillati; Bacillota; Bacilli; Caryophanales; Bacillaceae
Description: bacterial SSU rRNA
Rfam family: Bacterial small subunit ribosomal RNA
Source: RNAcentral
AUACUGCAAGUCGAGCGGACUUUUAAAGCUUGCUUUUGAAAGGUCAGCGGCGGACGGGUGAGUAACACGUGGGCAACCUGCCUGUAAGACUGGGAUAACUUCGGGAAACCGGAGCUAAUACCGGAUAAUAUAAGGAACCUCCUGGUUCUUUAUUGAAAGAUGGUUUCGGCUAUCACUUACAGAUGGGCCCGCGGCGCAUUAGCUAGUUGGUGAGGUAACGGCUCACCAAGGCGACGAUGCGUAGCCGACCUGAGAGGGUGAUCGGCCACACUGGGACUGAGACACGGCCCAGACUCCUACGGGAGGCAGCAGUAGGGAAUCUUCCACAAUGGACGAAAGUCUGAUGGAGCAACGCCGCGUGAGCGAUGAAGGCCUUCGGGUCGUAAAGCUCUGUUGUUAGGGAAGAACAAGUGCGAGAGUAACUGCUCGCACCUUGACGGUACCUAACCAGAAAGCCACGGCUAACUACGUGCCAGCAGCCGCGGUAAUACGUAGGUGGCAAGCGUUGUCCGGAAUUAUUGGGCGUAAAGCGCGCGCAGGUGGUCCUUUAAGUCUGAUGUGAAAGCCCACGGCUCAACCGUGGAGGGUCAUUGGAAACUGGGGGACUUGAGUGCAGAAGAGGAAAGUGGAAUUCCAAGUGUAGCGGUGAAAUGCGUAGAGAUUUGGAGGAACACCAGUGGCGAAGGCGACUUUCUGGUCUGUAACUGACACUGAGGCGCGAAA